RNAcentral lists this unclassified non-coding RNA (715 nucleotides) under Hevea brasiliensis (rubber tree). Lineage: Eukaryota; Viridiplantae; Streptophyta; Magnoliopsida; Malpighiales; Euphorbiaceae. The record is from RNAcentral.
CUCUCUCUCUCGCUCUCUCUCUUUUGUGGGUUAUGUAAUUUCUACGUUUAUCUUCUUUUCAUGGAUAUAAAUGAUUAAUUUUGAUUCCAUCUGCAGAAGUUAUUAGGGACUAUCAAGAAGUACGCAUGGGUCCCAAAGAAGUGACCAUUUAAAGUACUCCUGGAUUUUUAUUUCUAUGUUUGGCUCGUAAUAUCUAAUCUAGACUCUAGAUACAAUGCAACAUCUUACCUCCCCUGAAAAUUGAGAAGGUGGCGGUUUUGUGUGGAGUUAUGCUAUUGAAUGAUGAAGAAGGCUAGACUAUGGAGAUAUGCAACCAUAUGUUACCUUCCAACAUGAUUGAAUGCUUUUUGCCCAUUGCGAGACACAUGAACUUCACUCAUCACAAAAAAGUUAGGCAUCUUAUGAUCCUACCUUCAAAUUCAACAGAUUUAAGAUGGUAGAUUUUUGAAGUUAUAUAUAAUCUGUAUGUUUAUAAUUGUAAAGGUUUUUUGUUUUGAAGUUUGUAAUUGAGAGAAGAUACUACGGUGGCCCAUUCUCUUGCUAAAGCAGCCAUUGGGAUAGCGCCCCCAGGCUCCUCGUGUACCGUUCUUCUUUUGAAUGUUCUCUUCCAUGUUUUUUUUAACUUGACAUAUUACAUUCUGGGUUGGGUAUAAAUGGCAAGUCUAACGGCCUGAGUUUAGCCAGAUCUCAUUUGUUAAACUUUCCUGAUUAUAUU